Molecule: ribosomal RNA, 469 nt
Filed under: uncultured bacterium
Lineage: Bacteria
Description: partial 16S ribosomal RNA
Rfam family: Bacterial small subunit ribosomal RNA
Source: RNAcentral
GACGAACGCUGGCGGCGUGCUUAACACAUGCAAGUCGAACGGAAAGGCCCUGCUUUUGUGGGUUGCUCGAGUGGCGAACGGGUGUGUAACACGUGAGUAUCCUGCCCUUGUCUUUGGGAUAACUUUAGGAAACUGGGGCUAAUACCGGGUAGGAGCUCCUGCUCCACGGUGGUGGUUGGAAAGUUUCGGCGGUGGGGGAUGGACUGGCGGCGUAUCAGCUUGUUGGGGGGGUAGUGGCUUACCAAGGCUUUGAAGGGUAGCCGGCCUGAGAGGGUGACAGGCGACAUUGAGACUGAGAGACGGCCCAGACUCCUACUGGAGGCAGCAGUGGGGAAUAUUGCACAAUGGGCGCAAGCCGGAUGCAGCAACGCCGCGUGCGGGAUGACGGCGUUCGGGUUGUAAACCGCUUUCGCCUGUGACGAAGCGUGAGUGACGGUAAUGGGUAAAGAAGCACCGGCUAACUACCUGC